GCCAGACUCCUACGGGAGGCAGCAGUGGGGAAUAUUGCACAAUGGGCGCAAGCCUGAUGCAGCAACGCCGCGUGAGCGAAGAAGGUCUUCGGAUCGUAAAGCUCUGUCCUUGAGGAAGAAGGAAGUGACGGUACUCAAGGAGGAAGCCCCGGCUAACUACGUGCCAGCAGCCGCGGUAAUACGUAGGGGGCAAGCGUUAUCCGGAAUUAUUGGGCGUAAAGGGUGCGUAGGUGGUUUCUUAAGUCAGAGGUGAAAGGCUACGGCUCAACCGUAGUAAGCCUUUGAAACUGGGGAACUUGAGUGCAGGAGAGGAGAGUGGAAUUCCUAGUGUAGCGGUGAAAUGCGUAGAUAUUAGGAGGAACACCAGUUGCGAAGGCGGCUCUCUGGACUGUAACUGACACUGAGGCACGAAAGCGUGGGGAGCAAACAGGAUUAGAUACCCGCGUAA
This 448-nucleotide ribosomal RNA is filed under the name uncultured bacterium. RNAcentral's name for it is "partial 16S ribosomal RNA". It matches the Rfam family "Bacterial small subunit ribosomal RNA", at positions 330 to 793 of the family's 1533-position model. The record is from RNAcentral.